Non-coding RNA from Agelaius phoeniceus (red-winged blackbird), 799 nucleotides. Lineage: Eukaryota; Metazoa; Chordata; Aves; Passeriformes; Icteridae. The record is from RefSeq and is a predicted model, not a curated record.
GCUGCCCUAGGCACGCCAAGGAACAGAGGAGGGCAGGUAUCUUCUGGGCACCCUCUGGAGUCAAAUCAAGAUUUGAGGUACCCUGAGGAGCCUCGUAGCCAAAGGUUGGAAACGACAGCACCGAGGCACACACGGAGCAUGUUUCAACAUCCACGUCCGACCGAGGAUGGAUUUUGUCUGCUCCUUUUCCAAAAGCUAAGUGUCGGGGCCAGCAGUUGGGAGAAGGGGAAAAACCUUUACUAUCACAGAGGGCAAUUUGAUGUCAGCUUAGCGGAGAGGUCCCCGAGGCUACCGAUUUCCCCAGAACCUACCAACUGACGUCAAGGAGCACAGCCAGAUGAUGUGUCGCAGCACGUUCUUCAGCGUCUCGAGGUGAGCACAGGGUGAACUCUCUCCUCCUUGCUGUGACACCUGGGCUGGCAGGGAUGACACAGUGACCUCGGCCAGCCGAUGCUGCCUGUGCCAUCACCUGGCACUGACGUGUUUGAUGAAAAUCCUUUUGCUGGGAUUUUUCUCCUGAGAAGCCUCAGAACAGAAAUGGAACCAAUUACGAUCUGCUGGCUGUGGAGUGUGGGCUGGAGAUGGUUUAGCAACAGGGGCAUCUUGGAUUAGUCUCCUGUGCAGUGUCUACUUGAUGACCAAUCAUGGUCCAGCUGCGUCGGGGCUGUGAGCAGUCCCAGGUUUUUAUUAUUCAUUCCUUUCCAGCUUUCUGAUGUCUCCUUGCUCUUUUAGUAUAGUUCUACUAUCUCAUUUUCUUUUAAUAUAAUAGAGAUCAUAAAAUAAUAUUUCAGCCUUCUGA